Molecule: unclassified non-coding RNA, 331 nt
Filed under: soil metagenome
Description: partial contains 5.8S ribosomal RNA, internal transcribed spacer 2, and large subunit ribosomal RNA
Rfam family: 5.8S ribosomal RNA (bases 1-120)
Source: RNAcentral
GAUGAAGAACGUAGCGAAAUGCGAUAAGUAAUGUGAAUUGCAGAAUUCAGUGAAUCAUCGAAUCUUUGAACGCACAUUGCGCCCCCUGGUAUUCCGGGGGGCAUGCCUGUUCGAGCGUCAUUUCACCACUCAAGCCUCGCUUGGUAUUGGGCAACGCGGUCCGCCGCGUGCCUCAAAUCGACCGGCUGGGUCUUCUGUCCCCUAAGCGUUGUGGAAACUAUUCGCUAAAGGGUGUUCGGGAGGCUACGCCGUAAAACAACCCCAUUUCUAAGGUUGACCUCGGAUCAGGUAGGGAUACCCGCUGAACUUAAGCGUAUCAAUAAGCGGAGGA